GUCGAACGGUAACAGGUCUUCGGACGCUGACGAGUGGCGAACGGGUGAGGAAGAGAUCGGAACGUGCCCAGUCGUGGGGGAUAACUACUCGAAAGAGUAGCUAAUACCGCAUACGAUCUGAGGAUGAAAGCGGGGGACCUUCGGGCCUCGCGCGAUUGGAGCGGCCGAUGGCAGAUUAGGUAGUUGGUGGGAUGAAAGCUGGCCAAGCCGACGAUCUGUAGCUGGUCUGAGAGGACGACCAGCCACACUGGGACUGAGACACGGCCCAGACUCCUACGGGAGGCAGCAGUGGGGAAUUUUGGACAAUGGGCGAAAGCCUGAUCCAGCAAUGCCGCGUGCAGGAUGAAGGCCUUCGGGUUGUAAACUGCUUUUGUACGGAACGAAAAAGCUUCUCCUAAUACGAGAGGCCCAUGACGGUACCGUACGAAUAAGCACCGGCUAACUACGUGCCAGCAGCCGCGGUAAUACGUAGGGUGCGAGCGUUAAUCGGAAUUACUGGGCGUAAAGCGUGCGCA
This 515-nucleotide ribosomal RNA is filed under the name uncultured beta proteobacterium. RNAcentral's name for it is "bacterial SSU rRNA". It matches the Rfam family "Bacterial small subunit ribosomal RNA", at positions 61 to 573 of the family's 1533-position model. Lineage: Bacteria; Pseudomonadati; Pseudomonadota; Betaproteobacteria. The record is from RNAcentral.